CCUUCAUUCUAAAACCUACGCUAAAAACUAUAGCUUCAAUUGUCCAAUGACGCUAAUCUCAUCACUUUGUCUUCAACGAUUUUCUUUAACCCCAACUCAAGUAAAGCACUUCUCACUUUGUCUUCAACCUCGAUUCUAAGCCUCCUCCUCUGCUUUGUCCUCCUCAUCCCAGCCUCCUUCUUUGUCCUCCACCCUCCUCAUCUUCUGUCCCAACCCCAUCUCCGCCCAACCGCAACCACAUUCGAUGGAAAUCUAACAAGAUUUGAGGAAAGCCCGUCGAGAUUCGACGAAAAUCCCAACUCGAUUUCUCUUCGUUAGGCCCUCUUCCGAGAUCGAUUUCAUCUUCUUCCCUGGACCUUUGAAAAAGGAGGCAACUUGUUCUCAUGAGUCCUAAGAUUCAAUGUUAUCUAUCUUUGUUUGUACAGUUCAAACAAUAACAAGACUUGCAGCAAUGAGAAGAUAAACGAAAUACAUGAUUAUGAGCCAGUUCAUGAAGCCUUAUAUAUUGGAUGAAUGAGUACAUAGUUUUUUUUUGAGAUGGAAUGAGUACAUAGUUAUGUGUAGGGAAUACAACUUUUAUUUUAAUUAUAUAUGAAAUAUAAAUUUUAGGAUUCUUUCUAUUAACAAUUUUAGUAUUAUGUAAUUAGUUAAUGGUUAAUUUUAUCAUUAACAAUCAUAUAGUUGAUUACUAAUUAUAAAAAUUUUAUAUAA
Cannabis sativa is the source of this 711-nucleotide long non-coding RNA. RefSeq lists it as uncharacterized. The record is from RefSeq and is a predicted model, not a curated record. The transcript has 3 exons. NCBI's taxonomy places the organism in Eukaryota, Viridiplantae, Streptophyta, Magnoliopsida, Rosales, Cannabaceae.